AUCCCAUGAUGAGGACACUUGAGUAUGUAAUCUUGAGAGCGCUCCCAAGCUUCUAGGACUAUCUCAUCAUGUUGUUGCUGAAAACUUGAUAUCUUGCCACAUAGAGCAU
This 109-nucleotide small nucleolar RNA is filed under the name Sorghum bicolor (sorghum). Its description in RNAcentral is "Plant small nucleolar RNA R71". It matches the Rfam family "Plant small nucleolar RNA R71". Rfam says of the family: R71 is a member of the C/D box family of snoRNAs containing the C (UGAUGA) and D (CUGA) box motifs. Multiple nearly identical copies of this snoRNA have been identified in Arabidopsis, and it is thought to function as a 2'-O-ribose methylation guide for 18S ribosomal RNA. The record is from Rfam by way of RNAcentral. Lineage: Eukaryota; Viridiplantae; Streptophyta; Magnoliopsida; Poales; Poaceae.